RNAcentral lists this long non-coding RNA (1756 nucleotides) under Physcomitrium patens. RNAcentral's name for it is "long non-coding RNA (PPAT_LNC013033)". Lineage: Eukaryota; Viridiplantae; Streptophyta; Bryopsida; Funariales; Funariaceae. The record is from RNAcentral.
UUUGAUUUUGUACUUUUAUGUUCAAUUUUAUUCUAUUCUCUUUUGUUUUGUUCUACCUUUCAUGUUCUAUUUUGUUUUAGUUCUAUUCAAUUUUGUUUUGAUCCAAUUUGUCCUAUAUUGUGAUGGGAUUUAUAUUGCUAUGAAUUAGAAGGAUGUUAGAUCUUAGUGAUAAUCUAAUCUUGUUUCAGCAAAGGUGAAAUUGUUUUCAUUCUUCUUUUACAAAACAAUAUUAACACAAUUAAACAAAAUAUAUAUAUAUAUAUAUAUAUACACAUUUAUACAAAGAUAAAAGAUCAAAAAUAGUAAAAUAUAUGAAAUAUUAAUAAUUAAUUAAUUAUAUAAGAUUAAACAUAUUUUAAUAGUUAAGAUAUUUAUUAGGAUUUAUAAAUAUAUGUAAAAAUAGAUAAGAAGAUACAUUAUAUACAGAAACAAUAAGACCAUUGGAAAAGUUAGAUAGAAUCUAUUUGACUAAAGUUCAAAUUCUAUUCUAGAUCUUUCUUGCUAAGCUUCUUUUAAAACUUAAAAAUAUUUUUAAAUUAUUUGGUUUUUACAAAAAAAUAUUAGUUUGUGAACUAUAUAAAUUAAAAGCUAUGCAACAAUUAUUCAAGGAGAGGUGUCUAAUAUCUAAUAUACACAAUAUUUACUAUAAAUGAAUUUGAUUAAAUGUGAAUAGAUAGUAUAGAAAGUUACAAGGACAAAAAAUCAAAACAAAACUAAAAAAUAAACUUGUUUUUAUCAAUAAACAAGAUAAUUUAUAAAUGACUAAAAAUAUUUGUAAAAAAGAAAAAAGAAAAAAAAAUAACAUUCUAGCAUCCCACAUAAAAAUUUAAUUAUUUUCAUAUUGAGUGCAAGCCAAGUAGAGAGAUAAAAUGUACAAAUACUAAUCCUUCUAAAUUUAUUUUAUUUUUAUCCUAUGUGCACCCAACUUGGAUAUGAGGACCUAAAAUGGGUCGUCUAUACUAUUUUCUUUUCAUUUGAUGGGUCUUCACCAUUUCCCAUUAGUAUCAAAAUAAACAAACAAAUCAAGUCAAAGACCCAGGUCAGCCAAGAAUGAUCUCUUUCUUCAACGCAAAGGAUAGACACUUCUAAGUUACAAAAUCAAAACAAUGUAUAGAAAGGAGACGAAAAAGAAGAAGGAAACGGUCACAUGAGACAACCCUGCACUUGGCGUAGGAGCAUCAAAUCCUACGAAUGCUGCUUUCAUUCAUGAGGACCGAAUAAGGCAUGAGUGUGAUUUCUGUUUUUUUUUUGUUGUGUUUAGUUUUUUUGUUUAUGUUAUUUAUGUUUUCUUGUAGAAAAAUGUGGACUUGCAGUGCUUUUUUGCUAUUCAGACUGCUGUCGUUAUUCUGACCUGCACGGUGGUCAGAACUUUGCUGAUCAGCUCAUUGCAAUUGAUUGGGGCUUGGCUCAAGCAAACCAACAAUCUGCUUGACCCAGAAAAAGUAGAGCACUGGGAAGCAAGCAGGAGAUCGCCAGUGUUGAUCAUCACCGACAAGUUUGUUAUCAGUCAGUGUUUCGAAAUUAUUCAUGUUGAGAACUUGAGCAAUCAAUCAAAGUGUUCGUGGGUACAUCACGUUGCACAAUCACAUCGCUUCUUUGUCACCACUGGGAAAAUAAAUAAAUAAAUAAAUAAAUAAAGAGAGAAGAAGAGAAAAAAGGGAGAAUCAAUGUGUGCCACAGAAGUUACAUCAAUUAGGGUUUUGGUCCCGUUGUCUUCCCCGGUCAUGCUUUAGGACUGCGCACAAUGUGUUUACGG